RNAcentral lists this small RNA (118 nucleotides) under Nevskiaceae bacterium. Its description in RNAcentral is "Sinobacteraceae bacterium partial 6S RNA". It matches the Rfam family "6S / SsrS RNA", at positions 1 to 120 of the family's 187-position model. From Rfam's summary of the family: E. coli 6S RNA was the first non coding RNA to be sequenced, but its function was unknown until recently. Lineage: Bacteria; Pseudomonadati; Pseudomonadota; Gammaproteobacteria; Nevskiales; Nevskiaceae. The record is from RNAcentral.
UGUCUCCUGCGGUGUUCGACGGCUCCGUCCAAACCCCUUGAGCCUAAUUGCAAAACCCCGGGAGCCUUACCUGGUUCUGGCGUGCAGGCCCACCUUGCAGUGGGAAGCCCAAAGGCCG